CCUACGGGUGGCAGCAGUGAGGAAUAUUGGUCAAUGGCCGUAAGGCUGAACCAGCCAAGUCGCGUGAAGGAAGAAGGAUCUAUGGUUUGUAAACUUCUUUUAUAGGGGAAUAAAGGUAUCCACGUGUGGAUAUUUGCAUGUACCCUAUGAAUAAGCAUCGGCUAACUCCGUGCCAGCAGCCGCGGUAAUACGGAGGAUGCGAGCGUUAUCCGGAUUUAUUGGGUUUAAAGGGUGCGUAGGUUGUUUUUUAAGUCAGCGGUGAAAGUUUGCGGCUCAACCGUAAAAUUGCAGUUGAUACUGGCAUCCUUGAGUACAGUAGAGGUAGGCGGAAUUCGUGGUGUAGCGGUGAAAUGCUUAGAUAUCACGAAGAACUCCGAUUGCGAAGGCAGCCUGCUGGACUGUAACUGACGCUGAUGCUCGAAAGUGUGGGUAUCAAACAGGAUUAGAUACCCGUGUAGUC
Molecule: ribosomal RNA, 460 nt
Filed under: uncultured bacterium
Lineage: Bacteria
Description: partial 16S ribosomal RNA
Rfam family: Bacterial small subunit ribosomal RNA
Source: RNAcentral